RNAcentral lists this ribosomal RNA (253 nucleotides) under uncultured bacterium. RNAcentral describes it as "partial 16S ribosomal RNA". It matches the Rfam family "Bacterial small subunit ribosomal RNA", at positions 524 to 776 of the family's 1533-position model. The record is from RNAcentral.
UACAGAGGUCUCAAGCGUUGUUCGGAUUCAUUGGGCGUAAAGGGCGCGUAGGCGGUUUGCUAAGUUGGAUGUGAAAACUCUGGGCUUAACCCAGAGCCUGCAUCCAAAACUGGCAAACUUGAGUACUGGAGGGGAAAGCGGAAUUCCUGGUGUAGCGGUGAAAUGCGUAGAUAUCAGGAGGAACACCGGUGGCGAAGGCGGCUUUCUGGACAGUAACUGACGCUGAGGCGCGAAAGCUAGGGGAGCAAACAGG